Polypterus senegalus (gray bichir) is the source of this 292-nucleotide long non-coding RNA. RefSeq lists it as uncharacterized. The transcript is spliced from 3 exons. The record is from RefSeq and is a predicted model, not a curated record. NCBI's taxonomy places the organism in Eukaryota, Metazoa, Chordata, Cladistia, Polypteriformes, Polypteridae.
UUUUCCCUACAGGUUGCAGGGCAGGAUGCAGAGUAACAUCAUACCCAGGAUGGUGAGAACUGAAGCAAAGUCCCUAUACCAUUGAUAUACUGCUGGAAUGGAGGCUCCCUCUUCAGCAUGAUACUGCAAGGGCCAGGUACUUUGGUGGUCUGCCCAGAAGCGGCUAUAUCUCGGGGAAGGAAGCUGAAGCACACGAAGGAAACCAACCAGGAAAAUAUACAAACUCCAGACCGGAAUCUGACCCUCUUACUGUGAAGCAGCAAAGCUACCAUUGCGCCACUGUGCCCCCACA